GCGCGAAAACUUUACAAUGCUGGCAACAGCGAUAAGGGAACCUCGAGUGCCAGGUUACAAAUCUGGCUGUCGAGAUGCCUAAAAAGCAUUUCAUAGCAGGGGCCGGGCAAGACCGGUGCCAGCCGCCGCGGUAACACCGUCGGCUCGAGUGGUAACCGUUAUUAUUGGGUCUAAAGGGUCUGUAGCCGGCCGGAUAAGUCUCUUGAGAAAUCUGGCAGCUUAACUGUCAGGCUUUCAGGAGAUACUGUCUGGCUCGAGGCCGGGAGAGGUGAGAGGUACUUCAGGGGUAGGGGUGAAAUCUUGUAAUCCUUGAAGGACCACCAGUGGCGAAGGCGUCUCACCAGAACGGACCUGACGGCAAGGGACGAAAGCUAGGGGCACGAACCG
This 387-nucleotide ribosomal RNA is filed under the name uncultured bacterium. RNAcentral's name for it is "bacterial SSU rRNA". It matches the Rfam family "Archaeal small subunit ribosomal RNA", at positions 339 to 726 of the family's 1478-position model. The record is from RNAcentral.